GUCCCGCAACGAGCGCAACCCCUAUCUUUAGUUGCUACCAUUUAGUUGGGCACUCUAAAGAGACCGCCGGUGAUAAGCCGGAGGAAGGUGUGGAUGACGUCAAGUCCUCAUGGCCCUUACGGGUUGGGCUACACACGUGCUACAAUGGUAAUGACAAUGGGUUAAUCCCAAAAAGUUAUCUCAGUUCGGAUUGGGGUCUGCAACUCGACCCCAUGAAGUCGGAGUCGCUAGUAAUCGCAGAUCAGCAACGCUGCGGUGAAUACGUUCCCGGGCCUUGUACACACCGCCCGUCAA
RNAcentral lists this ribosomal RNA (294 nucleotides) under Pseudo-nitzschia fraudulenta. RNAcentral's name for it is "partial Bacterial small subunit ribosomal RNA". It matches the Rfam family "Bacterial small subunit ribosomal RNA", at positions 1084 to 1400 of the family's 1533-position model. Lineage: Eukaryota; Bacillariophyta; Bacillariophyceae; Bacillariales; Bacillariaceae. The record is from RNAcentral.